AUACGGAGGAUGCGAGCGUUAUCCGGAUUUAUUGGGUUUAAAGGGAGCGUAGGUGGGAUAUUAAGUCAGCUGUGAAAGUUUGGGGCUCAACCUUAAAAUUGCAGUUGAUACUGGUUUCCUUGAGUACGGUACAGGUGGGCGGAAUUCGUGGUGUAGCGGUGAAAUGCUUAGAUAUCACGAAGAACUCCGAUCGCGAAGGCAGCUCACCGGGCCGGAACUGACACUGAUGCUCGAAAGUGCGGGUAUCAAACAGGAUUAGAUACCCUGGUAGUCCGCACAGUAAACGAUGAAUACUCGCUGUUUGCGAUACACUGUAAACGGCCAAGCGAAAGCGUUAAGUAUUCCACCUGGGGAGUACGCCGGCAACGGUGAAACUCAAAUGAAUUGACGGCG
This 393-nucleotide ribosomal RNA is filed under the name uncultured bacterium. Its description in RNAcentral is "partial 16S ribosomal RNA". It matches the Rfam family "Bacterial small subunit ribosomal RNA", at positions 523 to 918 of the family's 1533-position model. The record is from RNAcentral.